UACGUAGGGAGCGAGCGUUGUCCGGAAUUACUGGGUGUAAAGGGUGCGUAGGCGGGUAUGCAAGUCAUAUGUGAAAUACCGGGGCUCAACUCCGGAACUGCAUAAGAAACUGUAUAUCUUGAGUGCAGAAGAGGUAAGCGGAAUUCCUAGUGUAGCGGUGAAAUGCGUAGAUAUUAGGAGGAACACCAGUGGCGAAGGCGGCUUACUGGGCUGUAACUGACGCUGAGGCACGAAAGCGUGGGGAG
Molecule: ribosomal RNA, 245 nt
Filed under: uncultured Eubacteriales bacterium
Lineage: Bacteria; Bacillati; Bacillota; Clostridia; Eubacteriales
Description: uncultured Clostridiales bacterium partial 16S ribosomal RNA
Rfam family: Bacterial small subunit ribosomal RNA
Source: RNAcentral